GUGUCAGCAGCCGCGGUAAUACAGAGGGUGCAAGCGUUGUUCGGAAUUAUUGGGCGUAAAGCGCGUGUAGGCGGCCUUGCAAGUUGGGUGUGAAAGCCCUCGGCUUAACCGAGGAAGUGCGCCCAAAACUACGAGGCUUGAGUGCCGGAGAGGGUGGCGGAAUUCCCGGUGUAGAGGUGAAAUUCGUAGAUAUCGGGAGGAACACCAGUGGCGAAGGCGGCCACCUGGACGGUAACUGACGCUGAGACGCGAAAGCGUGGGGAGCAAACAGGAUUAGAAACCCCCGUAGUCC
This 292-nucleotide ribosomal RNA is filed under the name uncultured bacterium. Its description in RNAcentral is "partial 16S ribosomal RNA". It matches the Rfam family "Bacterial small subunit ribosomal RNA", at positions 505 to 796 of the family's 1533-position model. The record is from RNAcentral.